This 71-nucleotide transfer RNA is filed under the name Nanobdellota archaeon. Its description in RNAcentral is "tRNA-Trp". It matches the Rfam family "tRNA". From Rfam's summary of the family: Transfer RNA (tRNA) molecules are approximately 80 nucleotides in length. Their secondary structure includes four short double-helical elements and three loops (D, anti-codon, and T loops). The record is from RNAcentral. Lineage: Archaea; Nanobdellati; Nanobdellota.
GGGGCUGUAGUAUAAUGGUAGAACAAACGGCUCCAGACCGUUUGAUCCAGGUUCAAAUCCUGGCAGCCCCA